GACGAACGCUGGCGGCGUGCUUAACACAUGCAAGUCGAACGGAAAGGCCCUGCUUUUGUGGGGUGCUCGAGUGGCGAACGGGUGAGUAACACGUGAGUAACCUGCCCUUGACUUUGGGAUAACUUCAGGAAACUGGGGCUAAUACCGGAUAGGAGCUCCUGCUGCAUGGUGGGGGUUGGAAAGUUUCGGCGGUUGGGGAUGGACUCGCGGCUUAUCAGCUUGUUGGUGGGGUAGUGGCUUACCAAGGCUUUGACGGGGAGGCGGCCUGAGCGGGUGACCGGCCACAUUGGGACUGGGAUACGGCCCAGACUCCUACGGGAGGCAGCAGUGGGGAAUAUUGCACAAUGGGCGGAGGCCUGAUGCAGCAGCGCCGCGUGCGGGAUGACGGCCUUCGGGUUGUAAACCGCUUUCGCCUGUGACGAAGCGUGAGUGACGGUAAUGGGUAAAGAAGCACCGGCUAACUACGUG
RNAcentral lists this ribosomal RNA (468 nucleotides) under uncultured bacterium. RNAcentral describes it as "partial 16S ribosomal RNA". It matches the Rfam family "Bacterial small subunit ribosomal RNA", at positions 28 to 507 of the family's 1533-position model. The record is from RNAcentral.